GAUGAACGCUGGCGGCGUGCCUAAUACAUGCAAGUCGAGCGAACGGACGAGAAGCUUGCUUCUCUGAUGUUAGCGGCGGACGGGUGAGUAACACGUGGAUAACCUACCUAUAAGACUGGGAUAACUUCGGGAAACCGGAGCUAAUACCGGAUGAUAUUUUGAACCGCAUGGUUCAAAAGUGAAAGACGGUCUUGCUGUCACUUAUAGAUGGAUCCGCGCUGCAUUAGCUAGUUGGUAAGGUAACGGCUUACCAAGGCAACGAUGCAUAGCCGACCUGAGAGGGUGAGAGGCCACGCUGGAACGGGGACACGGUCCAGACUCCUACGGGAGGCAGCAGUAGGGAAUCUUCCGCAAUGGGCGCAAGCCGGACGGAGCAACGCCGCGUGAGUGAUGAAGGUCUUCGGAUCGUAAAACUCUGUUAUUAGGGAAGAACAUAUGUGUAAGUAACUGUGCACAUCUUGACGGUACCUAAUCAGAAAGCCACGGCUAACUACGUG
RNAcentral lists this ribosomal RNA (497 nucleotides) under uncultured bacterium. Its description in RNAcentral is "partial 16S ribosomal RNA". It matches the Rfam family "Bacterial small subunit ribosomal RNA", at positions 28 to 507 of the family's 1533-position model. The record is from RNAcentral.